CAGUUUAGACCUUAUGGGAAGUAGGUGAACCUUAUAUGCGCCAAAUGUGGUCGUUUUGAGGCCAAAUUUUGUCAGUAAGUAGCUAAAACCAUGAACAGAAAGUGAAGGUAAAAUGGGCUGAAAACACAUAAGAAUCAAGGGAGUUAUUGCUGUUGGAAGAGAAGGCUUAUGCAUGGAAUAUUAUUUUGGGUCUUAAGGGUUUAGGAGAGCCUAAGGCAGCCCAAAAUAGCUGAAAUAGAGCCAAAUUUGGUGUAGAAUCACCUCAAAAGAGGAUAAAGUGAUGGGAGGAGUUUGGAUAAAUUUGGAAACCACUAGAGUGGGAGAUUAAUGUGACAAAUGUCCCACAUCAAUUAGGAAGUUUAAAGUUACAAAGGUCCCAAAUCAGUUAAGAAGUUAAAAUGAUGAGUGAAAAUUCCCACAUUGGAUAGGC
RNAcentral lists this long non-coding RNA (430 nucleotides) under Carica papaya (papaya). Its description in RNAcentral is "long non-coding RNA (CPAP_LNC015446)". The record is from RNAcentral. Lineage: Eukaryota; Viridiplantae; Streptophyta; Magnoliopsida; Brassicales; Caricaceae.